CCUACGGGGGGCUGCAGGGAAGAAAAUGACGGUACCUGACUAAGAAUCCCCGGCUAACUACGUGCCAGCAGCCGCGGUAAUACGUAGGGUGCAAGCGUUAUCCGGAUUUACUGGGUGUAAAGGGAGCGUAGACGGCUUGGCAAGCCAGAUGUGAAAGGCUGGGGCUCAACCUCAGGACUGCAUUUGGAACUGUCAUACUAGAGUGUCGGAGAGGCAGGUGGAAUUCCUGGUGUAGCGGUGAAAUGCGUAGAUAUUAGGAGGAACACCAGUGGCGAAGGCGGCCUGCUGGACGAUGACUGACGUUGAGGCUCGAAAGCGUGGGGAGCAAACAGGAUUAGAUACCCCAGUAGUC
RNAcentral lists this ribosomal RNA (352 nucleotides) under uncultured bacterium. RNAcentral's name for it is "partial 16S ribosomal RNA". It matches the Rfam family "Bacterial small subunit ribosomal RNA", at positions 453 to 795 of the family's 1533-position model. The record is from RNAcentral.